UUUUACUUCACUUUUUCAAAAUUGCAGUUUUUCCUCUCGCAAUAUCUCCCGACCAAGAAACAACCUCCACAAUCGUUUCGUGUAAAAAAAUGUAUUAAAAUCACCUUAUAAUUCCUGUAUAUGUAAUUAUUAAAACCUGUAAUUUACUCCUUUCUCUCUAAUUGUAGUAAAUUUUUUGUGGGUUUAAAAAAAAAAAAAGAUAAUCAUUGUGCUAGAACAACGAUUGUCGGUUUUUGGUGUCGUCUCAUACAUAACUGCAAUCUGGAACAGUCAUUUCUGGGGAUAAAGGUUGGUGUGAGGAUUUUGUUGAGGCUAUAGACAAACACAUGGAGUGUAUAACUUGUUGGUAAGAUUUUGUUGAGGCAUAUAAUCGAACAAGUUUAGUGUAUAGCUGAUUGAGUGAAAAGCUUUUGGUUAUGAUUUCAUCGAACAUAUUGAUAAUUGAGUGUAGCUGCUUGUUAUCAUUUUGUUAAGGCAUAUCAGCGGCCACUUUUUAUACCUUGUUGUUGUCAGCCGUACCUGAUGGGUAGAAUGAAAAUUAGACGGAGGAAGUACAUAUUAACCAAACAGAGAAUUGAGAUUAUAUGCAAAGCUGAUGAAGGUCUAUCUCAUACUUGCAAACUGAUACAAGUUCAUUCAUUAUCAAUUAGUUAGUUAGGAGUUUUCACUACAAUUACGUCCAACUGUAUUUUCAUUUUCUGCAUUUGUACUUCUGUAGGCCUUGUCAAAGUAUGUUAUUUUCGUAUGAUUGUUAGAUAUUUGUAGGCUAACUCUCGAGUUGUAGAAUUACAUUAUGUGUUGUUGUUGUUGUUAUAGUUUUUCUAUUUUUUUGGAUUUUGAUAUAGCAAGAGUAAAGCAAUUGGGAAGGUUUGCCCAUUGUCAGCCG
RNAcentral lists this long non-coding RNA (886 nucleotides) under Capsicum annuum. RNAcentral describes it as "long non-coding RNA (CANN_LNC016158)". Lineage: Eukaryota; Viridiplantae; Streptophyta; Magnoliopsida; Solanales; Solanaceae. The record is from RNAcentral.